GCCUCCAUCAGCUCAGCUACACCAUGAUCUCUGCAGCUCUGCUUAUGCUGUUGGCAGCCUCCAGUGUGAGGAGUGACGUGGUACUCACUCAGCCGAGCUCCACGAUGACACAGCCUGGAGAAUCAUCGGCGCCGACGUCCAUCUUCGCACUGUCACAGUGUGGAUCUGACAAUGGAUUAGUAACUCUGGGUUGCGUCAUGUCUGGAUUCCUGCCCCCGGACUCACAGAAGUUCAAAUGGAAAGACCCAAGUGGACAAGACCUUACUGACUUCAUACAAUACCCAGACAUUCCCAAAAAUGGAACGUACUCCAAGAUCAGCCAGAUUCGCGUACAGGCAGCAGACUGGGAAGCAAAGAAAACUUUCACCUGUGAAGUGGACGGCGCCGCCGCUAAGACGCCUGGAGUAACUACGGCUGGUGUAAAAAAGCUAGAUCCCAUCAGGUUAUCUGACCAGCUCCCGGUUGAGCUAACCCCGCCAUCAUCAAGAGAAAUAUUCCUCUAUAAUAAAGCAGAGCUGCAGUGUAUCACCAGAGAUACAGAAUCAGCUCUGAAUGGUACUAAAGUCACAUGGACGGUAGGAGGACGAGAUCGGAGUGGCAGCGCUACCAUUCAAAGAGUCCAACUGGAAAAUGGCCUGUCAGGCAUGAUCAGCAAACUGCAGGUGGAUUUGAAUGAGUGGUUCUCUGGAGCGGAGAUUGAGUGUCGCGUGUCCGAUAAGCACAAUAAGCAAGUGAAGGGAAGCCCACAGAAAAUAAUGAUCAAAAAAGGUGGAGCAGAUCCUGAAAUGCUCAUCUACACCCUCCCUGAGGCAAAAGACCCAAAGCGUGAAUCUGUGGUGUGUGAGGUCAGGGGCUCUUCUCUAGGAGAUGUGUACAUCAUGUGGCAGGUGAAUGGAGGACCGUACCAGGAGGGAAAGACCGGCGUUGUGAAACAACAGAAUGGCAGCAAGUCGCAUGUCAGCAUACUGACAGUCAAUUCAUCCGGUUCAGACUUAACUAAGUUCACCUGCGCGGUCAGGCAUAGUGGCAUGAAAAACUACACUUCUCCAAAAAAGGAGGAUUACUCAAAACGUGAGCCUGGGGUGGGAGAUGAAGAUGUCCUGCUCUGUACGAAGAGUGAGGAUGAGGAAGAGGACGAAUACAGCAGCAUGUGGUCCACCACCACCUCCUUCAUAUUCCUCUUCCUCUUCUCUCUGGUCUACAGCGCUAUCCUCAGUCUUGUCAAGGUGAAGCACUGACAACAAUGAACAGAAGAGAGGGGAAUCAGUGGCAAGUCAUCAUAUUUUUGUGCAGCUUGUAUCUCUAUAGAUUGUCUACAAAUGUUGUUAUCUAAAUCUCUGUCCACAUUGUACUUCUCAGUUCUAAAUUGUAAUUUAUGGGCAAGUCAUUUCUGUGAAGUUGUAUUUGCAUUACAGAAAUGUUUCCAUUUUUGUUUUUUGUUUUUUAUCACAUUUUGUUCUUAUCACUGAAUGAACAAAGAAAAAGAUUAAUCACUGAUUAGUUUUAUACUUGAUUGUUUUAUCAACGUUUGUUUCAGCUUAAUUGAAAAUAGAGGAGUCUUGCACAUAUAUAUAGAUAGAGCUUAACUGCAAUACUUUUUUAACAAAUAAAAAAUAUUGUGCUACACAGGCUGUUCAAUUCUAUUGCAUGA
Non-coding RNA from Sardina pilchardus (European sardine), 1651 nucleotides. The record is from the annotation of a RefSeq genome assembly. Lineage: Eukaryota; Metazoa; Chordata; Actinopteri; Clupeiformes; Clupeidae.